GUGGCGAACGGGUGAGUAACACGUGAGUAACCUGCCCCUGACUCUGGGAUAAGCCCGGGAAACUGGGUCUAAUACCGGAUAUGACUACUGGCCGCAUGGCCUGGUGGUGGAAAGAAUUUCGGUUGGGGAUGGACUCGCGGCCUAUCAGCUUGUUGGUGAGGUAGUGGCUCACCAAGGCGACGACGGGUAGCCGGCCUGAGAGGGUGACCGGCCACACUGGGACUGAGACACGGCCCAGACUCCUACGGGAGGCAGCAGUGGGGAAUAUUGCACAAUGGGCGCAAGCCUGAUGCAGCGACGCCGCGUGAGGGAUGACGGCCUUCGGGUUGUAAACCUCUUUCAGUAGGGAAGAAGCGAAAGUGACGGUACCUGCAGAAGAAGCGCCGGCUAACUACGUGCCAGCAGCCGCGGUAAUACGUAGGGCGCAAGCGUUAUCCGGAUUUAUUGGGCGUAAAGAGCUCGUAGGCGGUUUGUCGCGUCUGCCGUGAAAGUCCGGGGCUUAACCCCGGAUCUGCGGUGGGUACGGGCAGACUAGAGUGAUGUAGGGGAGACUGGAAUUCCUGGUGUAGCGGUGAAAUGCGCAGAUAUCAGGAGGAACACCGAUGGCGAAGGCAGGUCUCUGGGCAUUAACUGACGCUGAGGAGCGAAAGCAUGGGGAGCGAACAGGAUUAGAUACCCUGGUAGUCCAUGCCGUAAACGUUGGGCACUAGGUGUGGGGAACAUUCCACGUUUUCCGCGCCGUAGCUAACGCA
This 752-nucleotide ribosomal RNA is filed under the name Arthrobacter sp. RNAcentral describes it as "bacterial SSU rRNA". It matches the Rfam family "Bacterial small subunit ribosomal RNA", at positions 95 to 859 of the family's 1533-position model. Lineage: Bacteria; Bacillati; Actinomycetota; Actinomycetes; Micrococcales; Micrococcaceae. The record is from RNAcentral.